RNAcentral lists this long non-coding RNA (850 nucleotides) under Papio anubis (olive baboon). RNAcentral's name for it is "lncRNA (ENSPANG00000041121.1)". Lineage: Eukaryota; Metazoa; Chordata; Mammalia; Primates; Cercopithecidae. The record is from RNAcentral.
UCUCACCAAUGCACCACAAUGCAGCAGUUUCUUAUAGCCCAAGGUAUCACCCAAAGUUCCUGGUCUCACGAUCAAGAAAGUUAUGGAAUGCAGACACCAAUGAAUUAUUUUCCCUUCCACAAUUCUGGUUUCAGAGCCAUACCACCACCCUUACGUCCUGUCCCCAGACACACUUGACCCAGGAUUGGCCCAUGGAGUGCCCCAAGUCCAUCCAUUUAAGAGCCUUUUCCAGGACGAAAAAUAUAACUGGAUCUGAGAGAGAAAACAGUCUUCUCAAUGAUUGGUAUAUGGGCCCCAUGCUGCUGCUGACUAUGUUCCUUCCCCAAGAUAGAAAAAUCAUGGCAGCGGGAGAGAAUAAUGUGCAAGAAGAGAGACGGCAGAACAUCUGUUUUGUUGAAGAGCACAGCAAUGUUUACUGGACUAAGAAAUGGGCCUCUGCAGGUGAGCAACAACUUGGAUAUGGACUGGUUUCAAGAGGUAUCAUGAGAUGGUGCUGAAAGAAGAACAAUUAAGCAGAUAAUACAUCUGAAAGCAAGAUAAGUCGCUAUGGGUUAAGUAGAAGCCUGAUAACUAAACUAUUUUAGCUCUUAUAAGAAAAGAAACAAGAAAAAACAUCCAAUAAAUCUCCAGAUAAAGAAUAGAGACUCAUUUCCUAACUCAUCUUCUCUCGGGAGAAGAGAGAACUGAUGAAUAUUCGACUUCAUCAUCAUUUGGAAUCAGAUUCAGCUGGAGGAAUGGGGAUCUGCAAUCCUUUGACAUCAUUACAUUAACAAAAAGAGAAAGCUUUUGACCUCAAAUGAAAAAUCUCUUCCCUGUCAUUUAAAUAUUAGCCAUUAAAUCUCUGCUUCCU